AAUUAGUCUUGCAAAAACCCUUCUCAAAUUCUCACCCGUCUUCGCCGAGGGCUAGGAUUUGCACAGCCGCCGCCAUUCAACGACUGCGGGUUUAUAGUUUUCUUUCUGAGACUGAGACUGCUGCUUGCAAUCAAACAAGAGAAUGCAUUAGGCCAUCCAGCCAACCUCUGAUUUACUCGCUGCGGUAUUGAAGAAAAACCUUUCUUCUUUGGGAUCAUCAUGGAUCUUGGUUGACCAUCAGCUUCAAGCACAACUGCAAGAGAAUCAAUUGAAGGGUUAACACUAAGAUCUGCCAUCAAACAGAGUUUACUUCUACUUGUGCAGUCCUGCAGGAGUAAAAGGUACAAGCCGUACAGCUCAUUAUCAUGUGCAUCUUGAUGAGAAUUGGUUUACAACAGAGAACAAGCAAUCUCUGCUACAUGUAAUGUACUUCUUUUUGUGAAAAUUUAUGUGUAUAUAUUCUUGUUUCCUUCUGCUACAAGCAGGUAAGAGAAUGCCAUGCUUUCUCUUCUAACCCAAGAGCAAAAUUCAGUCUUGUGUUGUGUAGUGUGUAUGCCAAGCAAAUCUUCACAGAAAUUGAUGUAUUUGAUUUUUUUAUU
Molecule: long non-coding RNA, 599 nt
Organism: Dioscorea cayenensis subsp. rotundata (Guinea yam)
Lineage: Eukaryota; Viridiplantae; Streptophyta; Magnoliopsida; Dioscoreales; Dioscoreaceae
Exons: 5
Source: RefSeq, a predicted model, not a curated record